This 423-nucleotide long non-coding RNA is filed under the name Elaeis guineensis (African oil palm). RNAcentral's name for it is "long non-coding RNA (EGUI_LNC071412)". Lineage: Eukaryota; Viridiplantae; Streptophyta; Magnoliopsida; Arecales; Arecaceae. The record is from RNAcentral.
AGUUGUUCCACCAGCGUCGCCUUCUCGGCUUCGACGAUUUCCGCCCUAUCCUUCCAGACCGCCCGGAUGUCGUCGAAUCUCCGGUACUCGGCCUCCAACUUGGACAUGGUAUAGAUCAGCUGCAAGUAGAAGGCCGGUCGUCAGAAAAAUAAAAUGAUGAAAAUAAUAAUGGAGAGGAAAGAAAAAGAACUCACCCCGAUCAUGGUUGGGUAGAAGGAAGAGAGCAUCCCGGUCACCUGCCGACUCUUCAAGAGCUCCCGGUAGGCCAAGAAAAUGGUUGCCUGACACAAUCUCCUGAUCAAAUUGUGGUUGGCCAUAGCCGACGCUCCCUUGAAAACCCGAACGUCGGACGAUGCGACGUGGUCUGCCAACCUUGUGUCGUCCGCCGGCGCCAUCGGAGCCUUCCCUCGAUCAGUCACCUAG